GACACAGUGCUCUGGGGUCCAGAGAAGGAAGGAAGAUGGAGGGAGGGUGGCCCUCUGCUCCCUGACCCUGCUGCUCAGCCCCCUGCAGCCCUCCUGGAGCCCACACCUUUCAGCUGCAGUCUCCCAGCCUCUGUCCCCAGGAUGAAGCCCGCUACUUAGCUGGCUUUUCACCUCCAGAUGGCAUAAAGUGAAGAAGGGUCCCCUGUCCCUGCCCCGCAGGGCCCCCACACAAGACUCUCCCAUCACUUCCUGUCUCUCUCAGAUGCAGAGGCAGAGGCAGCCACAUGCCCUGUCCCAGCCGCAAUCACACCCUCAUAUUCAUAUAAUCACAGACCCCCACCCCACACAGUCAACACCCCAACCUCAGGUGCCACACACACCCCACACGUUCCCGCCAGCGCAUUCCACUCACACACACAUAUCCCAUUCUCAAACGCGUGCACCCAAGCCUCGUGACGCACACACGACGGGGCAGGCCGCAGAGCCAGCGGAGAGUCUCAGCGCGCAUGGACGCCUGGACCGCGCAGGGACGCGCCCAGGACCGCGCCCAGCCAGGGGUCCCCGUCUGCACCUCAGCUGCCUGGAUCCAGCACCAUGGGACGGGCUGGGGGCGGGGUAGGGGCGGGGACCCGCAGAUGCAACCUGCUACGCUGGAGUGCCACAAACCCCACUACCGCCCCUACCCUCCCUGUCCAGCCAAGCCACGCCACCCGGGCCCACCCCCAGGACACGGAGUUUAAGGACCGCGUCUCCCGAGAUGCCAGAGGGACCUGCGUCCGCACUGCCCCAGUGUGACCCGCAUACCUACCGGCCCCGACCCCGAACCGCAUGGCGUCCGCCCGAGCCCUGGCGCUGCUGGGUCUCCUGCUGCUGCCGCUGCUCGCAGAGCCCAGGAACCUCUGCCCGCAGCUUAUGACGGUCAUUAACCAGUUUCUGACCAAAGACAAGGACACCUACAUGGACUCUGUCAACAGAUACCACCUCACGGAGCCGGAAAGAAACACAUCCUCUAAACUCAAGGACUGCGUGACCGACACAAUGACCCCCGAGGAGACACAGGCCGUCGUGCAGCAACUGGAAGAAAUCAACAACCAGUGUGCCGACACGAUACUGAAGUAACACCAUCCACGGGCACCUCGGGUUCCUGUCCAGGCUGCCUGUCCCACCCAUGAGAAUCUGGGCCCAGGGCCCCGCCCUCCCUAGCUCCCGCCCUGCUGCUGCCUCUACUCCCUCUCCUGCUGUGCUGACUGGGGCAAGCCUGGGAGCCGCUGCCCCCCACCUCCCCACCCAGGCCUGUCCCCUGCGGGACAAUGCUGCCUAAUAAACUCACCUGCAUCCA
Molecule: long non-coding RNA, 1339 nt
Organism: Pan troglodytes (chimpanzee)
Lineage: Eukaryota; Metazoa; Chordata; Mammalia; Primates; Hominidae
Exons: 3
Source: RefSeq, a predicted model, not a curated record